Molecule: ribosomal RNA, 433 nt
Filed under: uncultured bacterium
Lineage: Bacteria
Description: partial 16S ribosomal RNA
Rfam family: Bacterial small subunit ribosomal RNA
Source: RNAcentral
AACGAACGCUGGCGGCAGGCUUAACACAUGCAAGUCGAGCGAGACCUUCGGGUCUAGCGGCGGACGGGUGAGUAACGCGUGGGAACGUGCCCUUCUCUACGGAAUAGCCCCGGGAAACUGGGAGUAAUACCGUAUACGCCCUUUGGGGGAAAGAUUUAUCGGAGAAGGAUCGGCCCGCGUUGGAUUAGGUAGUUGGUGGGGUAAUGGCCCACCAAGCCGACGAUCCAUAGCUGGUUUGAGAGGAUGAUCAGCCACACUGGGACUGAGACACGGCCCAGACUCCUGCGGGAGGCAGCAGUGGGGAAUCUUAGAAAAUGGGGGCAACCCUGAUCUAGCCAUGCCGCGUGAGUGAUGAAGGCCUUAGGGUUGUAAAGCUCUUUCAGCUGGGAAGAUAAUGACGGUACCAGCAGAAGAAGCCCCGGCUAACUCCGUG